CCAUCUGAUGAAGGUGGCUUUUCCUAGGUCUAAAAAGCCUUGGGAAUAAGAGGGGGGCAAGACUGGUGUCAGCCGCCGCGGUAACACCAGCCCCUCGAGUGGUGGGGAUGAUUAUUGGGCCUAAAGCGUCCGUAGCCUGCCGUAUAAGUUUCCCGUUAAAUCCAGCGUCUCAAGCGUUGGACCGCGGGAAAUACUGUACGGCUAGAGAGUGGGAGAGGUCAGCGGUAUUCUGGGGGUAGGGGCGAAAUCCUGUGAUCCCUGUGAGACCACCAGUGGCGAAGGCGUCUAGCUAGAACGGGUCUGACGGUGAUGAACGAAAGCUAGGGGCACGAACCGGAUUAGAUACCCGGGUAGUCCUAGCCGUAAACGAUGCGAGCUAGGUGUCACGGUAGCUGCGAGCUACUGUGGUGCCGUAGGGUAGCCAUGAAGCUCGCCACCUGGAAGUACGCCGCAAGGC
This 457-nucleotide ribosomal RNA is filed under the name uncultured archaeon. RNAcentral's name for it is "bacterial SSU rRNA". It matches the Rfam family "Archaeal small subunit ribosomal RNA", at positions 388 to 849 of the family's 1478-position model. The record is from RNAcentral.